RNAcentral lists this ribosomal RNA (490 nucleotides) under uncultured bacterium. RNAcentral describes it as "partial 16S ribosomal RNA". It matches the Rfam family "Bacterial small subunit ribosomal RNA", at positions 28 to 507 of the family's 1533-position model. The record is from RNAcentral.
GAUGAACGCUAGCGAUAGGCUUAACACAUGCAAGUCGAGGGGCAGCAUGGUCUUAGCUUGCUAAGACUGAUGGCGACCGGCGCACGGGUGCGUAACGCGUAUGCAACUUGCCUCACAGAGGGGGAUAACCCGUCGAAAGACGGACUAAUACCGCGUACACUCCAUCUUGGGCAUCCAAGGUAGAGGAAAUGAAAUUCGCUGUGAGAUAGGCAUGCGUCCCAUUAGCUAGUUGGUGAGGUAACGGCUCACCAAGGCGACGAUGGGUAGGGGAACUGAGAGGUUGAACCCCCACACUGGUACUGAGACACGGACCAGACUCCUACGGGAGGCAGCAGUGAGGAAUAUUGGUCAAUGGGCGAGAGCCUGAACCAGCCAAGUCGCGUGAAGGAUGACUGUCUUAUGGAUUGUAAACUUCUUUUAUAUGGGAAUAACAAGAGUCACGUGUGACUCCCUGCAUGUACCGUAUGAAUAAGCAUCGGCUAACUCCGUG